This 393-nucleotide ribosomal RNA is filed under the name uncultured bacterium. RNAcentral describes it as "partial 16S ribosomal RNA". It matches the Rfam family "Bacterial small subunit ribosomal RNA", at positions 523 to 918 of the family's 1533-position model. The record is from RNAcentral.
AUACGGAGGAUCCAAGCGUUAUCCGGAUUUAUUGGGUUUAAAGGGUGCGCAGGCGGAAGAUUAAGUCGGCGGUGAAAUUUUGCAGCUCAACUGUGAAAGUGCCAUCGAUACUGGCUUUCUUGAGUGUGGAUGAAGUAGGCGGAAUUUGUGGGGUAGCGGUGAAAUGCAUAGAUAUCACGAGGAACUCCGAUUGCGCAGGGAGCUUACUAGGCCAUAACUGACGCUCAGGCACGAAGGCGUGGGGAUCAAACAGGAUUAGAUACCCUGGUAGUCCACGCAGUAAACGAUGAUUACUCGCUGUUUGCGAUACACAGUAAGCGGCUUAGCGAAAGCGUUAAGUAAUCCACCUGGGGAGUACGUUCGCAAGAAUGAAACUCAAAUGAAUUGACGGGG